Molecule: long non-coding RNA, 1074 nt
Filed under: Cyanistes caeruleus (blue tit)
Lineage: Eukaryota; Metazoa; Chordata; Aves; Passeriformes; Paridae
Description: lncRNA (ENSCCEG00000005609.1)
Source: RNAcentral
AUUCAGCUCCAUCAGUUGCUGUCAUCACUCUUUUUUCUUUUCUAGGCAAAACUUGUUUUUUUCCCCUGAUCUCCUCCAUAGUCCCUAUCUUCUCAGUGUCUGUUUGGGCCAUUCCCAGUGUUCUUGCUGAGGCCUUAGGGGUGCUGAUUCAUGGCAGAAUUAGUUGAUUUUGACACUCCUUACACUCCUUGCCUGCAUAUCCAUGUAUCAUACUCAGUUUGCAGAGGUGUGCUGUCAACACCUGUUCAUUUAGACUCCCACUGUGCCUCCCUCACCCUUCUCCCCUUGCUGCCUGUGUUGUCACAGGUCAUGCCUCUGACUUCCAGCAAAGUGUACUGAGCUCCCUUAAUAGAGCUCCUCCAAUUUGUCCACAUAAAAUUCUCAUCCUCACCGCUGAGGUGCUCACAGUCCUUCUCAACCGGUGUUUUUGGACUAUGCAAUCUCCACCACAAUAUCCAGAGGAGGAAGUGCACGUCAGCUCAAAGGAUCUGAGACAGGAGAUACAAAACUGUGCAAGAACAGCUUUUACCUUGAGGACAGGCUGGAUCCAUGAGUAAACAAGCACAGCACAGAGACCAGCCUGCCUGGCUCUCCAGCAGAAAACGUCCUGCUGCGUGUUUUCCCAAAGAGCCACAUUUCAGAGGGGACAGCUCAUGGCCGAGGUGGAAUCCCUUGACUGGAGGAGUGAUUCUUCACAAGGACUGUGAGCCCUUCCCUGGAUACACCACAGGCUUCACCUUUCAGAGAAGGCUCUGCAGGCAGCUGGGGCUGCAAGGACAGUUUGUUCCUGUUUUUUGCAACUGCUUCACUAUAGAGAGAGGAUUUCAGUCUCCAAAACAAUUCUCUUGCACUAAUAGGAGGCAAAAGAAGUGGAACAAGCUCUUUGACAAAGAACUCAGUUGCCAAACAGGGAGGGCUGGCUGUGCUCUCCUGCGAGCAGCGAUGUCAAAGAAGCUGUUCCCAGCAGAUGGCACAAGAGUUCGAGCUGCUUCAGUCUGCUCUCGGCAGCCCGUACCUGCCCCCAGGUGUGCGGCUUCAGCUGCUGGGACCUGGAGAGUCGCCGUGUACUUCUGA